GACGAACGCUGGCGGCGUGCCUAACACAUGCAAGUGGAGCGACGAACCAGGCUUCGGCCUGGGGCAAAGCCGCGAACGGGUGAGUAACACGUGGGUAACCUGCCCCGAUGAUUGGGACAACCCGAGGAAACUCGGGCUAAUACCGAAUGUGCCCUCCGACCGCAAGGUCACUGGGGAAAGGAAGCUUCGGCCUCCGCAUCGGGAUGGGCCCGCGGCCCAUUAGCUUGUUGGUGAGGUAACGGCUCACCAAGGCGACGAUGGGUAGUGGUCUGAGAGGACGAUCAGCCACACUGGGACUGAGACACGGCCCAGACUCCUACGGGAGGCAGCAGUGGGGAAUCUUGCGCAAUGCGCGAAAGCGUGACGCAGCAACGCCGCGUGGGGAAGACGGCCU
RNAcentral lists this ribosomal RNA (394 nucleotides) under uncultured bacterium. Its description in RNAcentral is "bacterial SSU rRNA". It matches the Rfam family "Bacterial small subunit ribosomal RNA", at positions 28 to 417 of the family's 1533-position model. The record is from RNAcentral.